AGAGAACUGAUGAGGAGAAAUACCAUAGUCCAACAAAAGGCUAGGACAGAGAGGAGACUCAUGCUCAUGCAUCUCUAGAUUACACCUCUAUCAGAAACUCUGUGAUAUUUCCCAUUAAUGUGUAAAAUCUGUGGGACUUCGGAGCCUAAGGCCCUCACCAGACCAGUGAGCAGGGCCUGAAGUCCAGGCUGGAUGGCUGAGUCCUGCUCCCAGCUCCCCCUAGCCCUGCUCCCGCCUGCUCACUGCACCUGCUUUGCAAUCCUCUGCACUAGUUAAUCGUGCAGGCCGCACCUCGUAAACCUGCCUGGAGACCCAGGGUUUGGAAACAGAGUUGCUGGGGCAGAUUUACAGAGUGAUGUCUGUUUGACUGACAGCUGUUGUUGCUUUAUGGGAAGCCAGCACAUGUUCACACUAUAAGGUGGGAACAAUUGCUUCGGAAAGCCUCCACGUGCGUGAGAUGCUUCAGCUCUGCUCUCCAGCCAGGAGCUGUUUCUCCCUGGCUGUUACCAGCCAUCUCAAACGUGUGGACACAGAGGGCAGAAUGAAUACACCCAGAACCUGCUCUUCUUGCAGAGCUAUCACAUAAUGUUACCAUAACACUGCAGUAGGGGAGAGAAGAGCCUUAGUUGCGUAUUUACUUAUCACCCAGGGGGUUGUUUUGUGUUGAGGAGGCGUCUCUAUGAAAUCAGGAGGGGGAAAUCAGAAAUCAAAAAACAAGAUCAGUUUCCAAAUGCACAGCCAUGCCAUGAAACAGGUCUGGAAGAGGAAAUGGUCUUCCAGAUCUGCGUGGGGACAAAGAGAUGAGCAUAUGGGGACGACCAAAGGACUGUGGGCAGCCUGCUGUGCUGCUGGGCAUGUGCACACACACAGAUGUAUUUAGACUCUCUGCUUUCUGUGAAAAGGACUUGAACCAAGCUCUGCUAGGAUGAAGUAGAAGACACCAGCUGGCAUCACUGGGGUUUCCUCAACUCCAUCACAAAUGCAAAGAUUAAGUUCUAAAAAGCAGUUUUGGUACUGUGUGGAUGGGCUGUUUGCUGAGCCUAGCUGAUGAGGACACAGCUCUGCAGUCAGACUCCACAAGUGCGCCCUACCUGAGAGGCUAGCAGGCCACAACCAGGGUGUCUCUUUCAGGGAUGCUCAGCUGAUGGUGACUUCACUCUGUGUUUUGGUGUUUUCUCCUUUUUUCUACCAGAAGGUCAUGGCUGGGAAAAAUAGAAGAGCCAGCAGUGUAGGGAAUAGUCAUUCUGUUCGUGAAAGGCAAGUGUCUCAUACCAAUGAAGAGUGAGCUCGAGUCUUGGGAAGAUUUGGAUCAGAUGAAUCACCGUGUCAAAAAUAAGUUUAAUGUUUCCAUCUCCAACACUUCCCUCCUUGCACUGAACCAGAGAUGAUUAACAGGGCACUAUUUUCUGGGGCAGCUCUGCAGACCAGGAAGGUUAUGAUUCCUUGACUGUCUGCGAGAAAAAGGCAGUGGCAAAAAAUGAGCAUCAAAGUAAAAGAUCUGAGAGCCAUUCCCAGCAGCACAAACGUAGCCUCCCACUGUAAAAGCAGUGAAGUGUUCAGAUCUGCUGUGUUGGCUGCCAGUUUUCUUGGGUAGGAUCCCAAGUGUGAAUUCCUGCUCUAUGAAUUAAGCAUUAACAAGAAGUGAGUUUUCAUAGGAUUUAAGCCCAGAAGGGAAUCAUUAUGAUCCUCUAUUCUGAUUGCCAUGAUAGCACACUCCUUAAGUUGUUACCCAGCAACUUUGGCCUUAAGCCCAGUGAGAUUUUCUUGUUGCAAAAGGAUAUUUUUACAAAGAUAUAUCCAGUCUUGACUAAAAGUCUUCAAGACCACUAAAUGAUCUGCAAAGGCUGAUAAGCCUUUACUGAAGGUUUGCAUCUGAUUUCCUAGCUGAAGACCUGACGAUGUCUGCAUUUACUGAUGAGUACCAUAGUCUGAAAAGUCAGAUUUAAGAAAUGAUUUGGCACUGGGAACUAAUCAGUGUGUCCUGUGGAGGUAGAGUACACCCUUCUCAAUAGCUAAACCACCGGGAAGAACUAGACCACAGGCAGGACUUAUGCCAGCAGCUAGGCUGCACAGCAUCAGCUGUGAAAUGGACCAGUAGAGACAAACCAACAAGCAAAGAUCAGUGAGGCAUAUAUCAAGCACUGCCCGUUGGCUAGGGACAGCAUGGGAACCUGGAUCACAAAGUCAUCUUGCCUAAUUGGAGCUGCCUACAAAGCAGAUGUUGACACUGGAACUGAGUGAGACAGCUCCUGAGACCAAUGCUGGCAGCAAAUCAGAAGAGGGCAUUGAGAUGAAUUGUUUUCCAGUAGCCUUAUUUUUUUUUUUCACAUACAAAUGAGGGGAUGAAUGUCACUUGGAGUGACAUAGAGCCUUUCUAGUAGCCUGAAACUCAGCAUUCAGAGAAGUCUCUCAAGCACAGUUAGCCUUGCAUCAAAAUUUGAGUUGGUGGCAGCCUGAAGGAAUUUAUUCUCUGAGGAACUCUCUGGGGAGUUCUGCUGCUUCACAGUUCAGGGCAGCCAGCGAAUUAUGAUGAAAGCAGUAUAUGCAAACUCUGUCAGCUAGAACUGUUUCACCAGCCACUAACAUGAAUAAUAAUGCAUGGGAGAUGUUACACAGCACUUAAAGCCCCAAAGGCUCUUCAGUUCAUGCCACUCGUGGGCAAAGAUUAUGAGAUGCUACAUCUCAGUGCAGAAGAAUGUGCACUGGACAAAGCGCUGGAGGUGGCAUUGUUGCUCAAGCUCUUAUAACCAAAAGCAAACCCCCAUGAGGGGAAAAAGGAACUCCAGCUACAUGCAGAAAAUACAAUGAAGAAGCUGAAAGAGAUCAAAUUAGACAGAGCUUCAGGAUGUGGGGUCCUGGAUGGAUGUUACGAGGACAGCACGAAACUCUCCUUUCUUGUCUUUUAGAACUGUGUUCGAUUACAUGUUGUGCAAAUUCAUUCUGUGUUUGUUUGUUUUUCCCUCUAAAACAUAGGGUAGAUGCUGUCUUAUGAGACUGUAGUGGCCUUCAGCAAACAUCCCUGGGCUGUGCCUCAGGUCUAAAUCUCACAUUUUGUGACACUCUUGUGGUGGCAGGCAAGCAGCUGAAGAAAAAGCAACCAAAAGCAUUAAACAUCUUUGCGACCUAACAAAUACCCUAUGCUUUGGUCAGUGAGGUUCAAAUUCUGCAGAAGAAAAGGUGGUUUGAGAGAAAUGGGAUAUAGGAUCAAGGGACAUCAGAUGUCCAAAUUAGCUAUGAGAAAGAGAACACGGAAACUAAGGGAGGUCUGUCUAUUGAGCUCAGUGGCAGCUGUGGGAAAUGCAACAGAAUAGGAAAGAGAGUUUUGAAGGGUACUAAUAUAUGUUUGUCUUUGGGGGAAAAAAGAGUACUCCAGCUACAGGAGUACAGAGUUUAUGCUGUAUUCAUGGGAGUCUUCAGAGAAGGCAAAGCACGUGUGCUGGCCAUUUCCUCAAAGAAAAUAUUCUUUGUGAAAGCUAAUAAUUUUAGCAGGGAUUCUGGUCUUCCUCUUGAGGAGAGUUAAAUGAAGUUAUGGGUCAGUGAGAGGACACCUGUGCAAAACCAAAGCAGAAUUUCCAAUCUUUGAACGUAGCUCCUUCAUAUGGAGAAGACCUGGUCAAAAUGGC
This is a non-coding RNA of Meleagris gallopavo (turkey), 3623 nucleotides long. The record is from RefSeq and is a predicted model, not a curated record. NCBI's taxonomy places the organism in Eukaryota, Metazoa, Chordata, Aves, Galliformes, Phasianidae.